GACGAACGCUGGCGGCGUGCUUAACACAUGCAAGUCGAACGGAAAGGCCCUGGUUUUGUGGGGUUCUCGAGUGGCGAACGGAUGAGUAACAAGUGAGUAACCUGCCCUUGACUUUGGGAUAACAUCAGGAAACAGGGGCUAAUACCGGAUAGGAGCUCCUGCUGCAUGGUGGGGGUUGGAAAGUUUCGGCGGUUGGGGAUGGACUCGCGGCUUAGCAGCUUGUUGGUGGGGUAGUGGCUUACCAAGGCUUUGACGGGUAGCCGGCCUGAGAGGGUGACCGGCCACAUUGGGGCUGAGAUACGGCCCAGACUCCUACGGGAGGCAGCAGUGGGGAGUAUUGCACAAUGGGCGGAAGCCUGAUGCAGCAGCGACGCGUGCGGGAUGACGGCCUUCGGGUUGUAAACCGCUUUCGCCUGUGACGAAGCGUGAGUGACGGUAAUGGGUAAAGAAGCACCGGCUAACUACGUG
This 468-nucleotide ribosomal RNA is filed under the name uncultured bacterium. RNAcentral's name for it is "partial 16S ribosomal RNA". It matches the Rfam family "Bacterial small subunit ribosomal RNA", at positions 28 to 507 of the family's 1533-position model. The record is from RNAcentral.